This 396-nucleotide ribosomal RNA is filed under the name uncultured bacterium. RNAcentral describes it as "bacterial SSU rRNA". It matches the Rfam family "Bacterial small subunit ribosomal RNA", at positions 975 to 1375 of the family's 1533-position model. The record is from RNAcentral.
CAGGGUUUGACAUCCUGAGACCGCUCCUGAAAGGGAGUUUCCCGCAAGGGCUCAGAGACAGGUGCUGCAUGGCUGUCGUCAGCUCGUGUCGUGAGAUGUUGGGUUAAGUCCCGCAACGAGCGCAACCCUCGCCUUUAGUUGCCAUCAUUAAGUUGGGCACUCUAGAGGGACCGCCGGCGACAAGCCGGAGGAAGGUGGGGAUGACGUCAAGUCCUCAUGGCCCUUACACCCUGGGCUACACACGUGCUACAAUGGCGGUGACAGUGAGCAGCUAGUUCGCGAGAACGUGCUAAUCUCAAAAAACCGUCCCAGUUCAGAUUGCACUCUGCAACUCGAGUGCAUGAAGGUGGAAUCGCUAGUAAUCGCAGAACAGCAGGCUGCGGUGAAUACGUUCCC